Molecule: ribosomal RNA, 497 nt
Filed under: uncultured bacterium
Lineage: Bacteria
Description: partial 16S ribosomal RNA
Rfam family: Bacterial small subunit ribosomal RNA
Source: RNAcentral
GAUGAACGCUGGCGGCGUGCCUAAUACAUGCAAGUCGAGCGAACAGACGAGGAGCUUGCUCCUCUGACGUUAGCGGCGGACGGGUGAGUAACACGUGGAUAACCUACCUAUAAGACUGGGAUAACUUCGGGAAACCGGAGCUAAUACCGGAUAAUAUAUUGAACCGCAUGGUUCAAUAGUGAAAGACGGUUUUGCUGUCACUUAUAGAUGGAUCCGCGCCGCAUUAGCUAGUUGGUAAGGUAACGGCUUACCAAGGCAACGAUGCGUAGCCGACCUGAGAGGGUGAUCGGCCACACUGGAACUGAGACACGGUCCAGACUCCUACGGGAGGCAGCAGUAGGGAAUAUUCCGCAAUGGGCGAAAGCCUGACGGAGCAACGCCGCGUGAGUGAUGAAGGUCUUCGGAUCGUAAAACUCUGUUAUUAGGGAAGAACAAAUGUGUAAGUAAAUAUGCACGUCUUGACGGUACCUAAUCAGAAAGCCACGGCUAACUACGUG